This 92-nucleotide small RNA is filed under the name Bombilactobacillus mellis. Its description in RNAcentral is "Lactobacillus mellis RNA anti-toxin A". It matches the Rfam family "RNA anti-toxin A". Lineage: Bacteria; Bacillati; Bacillota; Bacilli; Lactobacillales; Lactobacillaceae. The record is from Rfam by way of RNAcentral.
UAAUGAAGACAUAAAAAGAGCCGGUGUUGCUAUCACCAGCCCUUCUAUGUAUAGCCGUUUAAGACGGUGACGCAGUAUAAAGUUAUUUAAUU